UACGUAGGGUGCGAGCGUUGUCCGGAAUUAUUGGGCGUAAAGAGCUUGUAGGUGGUUUGUCGCGUCUGCUGUGAAAAUCCGGGGCUCAACCCCGGACUUGCAGUGGGUACGGGCAGGCUAGAGUGUGGUAGGGGAGACUGGAAUUCCUGGUGUAGCGGUGAAAUGCGCAGAUAUCAGGAGGAACACCGGCGGCGAAGGCGGGUCUCUGGGCCGAUACUGACGCUGAGGAGCGAAAGCGUGGGGAGCGAACAGG
RNAcentral lists this ribosomal RNA (253 nucleotides) under uncultured bacterium. RNAcentral describes it as "partial 16S ribosomal RNA". It matches the Rfam family "Bacterial small subunit ribosomal RNA", at positions 524 to 776 of the family's 1533-position model. The record is from RNAcentral.